UGCCAGCCGCCGCGGUAAUACGGAGGGUGCAAGCGUUGUUCGGAAUUAUUGGGCGUAAAGCGCGUGUAGGCGGUUCGUUAAGUCUGAUGUGAAAUCCCAGGGCUCAACCCUGGAACUGCCUCAUAAACUCCUGGUCUAGAGUUCGAGAGAGGUGAGUGGAAUUCCGAGUGUAGAGGUGAAAUUCGUAGAUAUUCGGAGGAACACCAGUGGCGAAGGCGGCUCACUGGACCGGAACUGACGCUGAUGCACGAAAGCGUGGGUAGCAAACAGGAUUAGAUA
RNAcentral lists this ribosomal RNA (279 nucleotides) under uncultured bacterium. RNAcentral describes it as "partial 16S ribosomal RNA". It matches the Rfam family "Bacterial small subunit ribosomal RNA", at positions 506 to 784 of the family's 1533-position model. The record is from RNAcentral.